UACAAUGGUUAACUCUUCGUCUUAUUAAAAAAAAUUAUGAUUUAAUAAUUUUAUUUUUAUUAGAUGAUAAAACAUGAAUAGUACUUUAUGUGUGAUUAAUUUUUUAAAAAUUUCUUGAGAAAAUUUUCAAAUAAGACGGAUGGUCAAAUGCUCGACACGAAAACCGA
This 167-nucleotide microRNA precursor is filed under the name Oryza brachyantha (malo sina). Its description in RNAcentral is "MIR812 microRNA precursor family". It matches the Rfam family "MIR812 microRNA precursor family", at positions 27 to 191 of the family's 205-position model. The record is from Rfam by way of RNAcentral. Lineage: Eukaryota; Viridiplantae; Streptophyta; Magnoliopsida; Poales; Poaceae.